UGGGGAAUAUUGCACAAUGGGCGGAAGCCUGAUGCAGCGACGCCGCGUGAGGGAUGACGGCCUUCGGGUUGUAAACCUCUUUCAGUAGGGACGAAGCGUAAGUGACGGUACCUGCAGAAGAAGCACCGGCUAACUACGUGCCAGCAGCCGCGGUAAUACGUAGGGUGCGAGCGUUGUCCGGAAUUACUGGGCGUAAAGAGCUCGUAGGCGGUUUGUCACGUCGUCUGUGAAAUCCUAGGGCUUAACCCUGGACGUGCAGGCGAUACGGGCUGACUUGAGUACUACAGGGAAGACUGGAAUUUCUGGUGUAGCGGUGGAAUGCACAGAUAUCAGGAAGAACACCGAUGGCGAAGGCAGGUCUCUGGGUAGUAACUGACGCUGAGGAGCGAAAGCAUGGGUAGCGAACAGG
This 409-nucleotide ribosomal RNA is filed under the name Verrucomicrobiota bacterium. Its description in RNAcentral is "Verrucomicrobia bacterium partial 16S ribosomal RNA". It matches the Rfam family "Bacterial small subunit ribosomal RNA", at positions 355 to 776 of the family's 1533-position model. Lineage: Bacteria; Pseudomonadati; Verrucomicrobiota. The record is from RNAcentral.